CCAAUAGCGUAUAUUAAAGUUGUUGCAGUUAAAAAGCUCGUAGUUGAAUUUCGGGGUCAGUAGGUCGGUCGUGCCACUGGUAUGAACUGGUUUUACUGAUUCCUCCCUCUUGAAGAACUGUAAUGCCAUUAAUUUGGUGUUGCAGGGAAUCAGGACUGUUACUUUGAAAAAAUUAGAGUGUUUAAAGCAGGCUUUAGCUUGAAUACAUUAGCAUGGAAUAAUGAAAUAGGACGUUUGAUCCUAUUUUGUUGGUUUCUAGGAUUGACGUAAUGAUUAAUAGGGAUAGUUGGGGGCAUUAGUAUUCAAUUGUCAGAGGUGAAAUUCUUGGAUUUAUUGAAGACUAACUACUGCGAAAGCAUUUGCCAAGGAUGUUUUCAUUAAUCAAGAACGAAAGUUAGGGGAUCGAAGACGAUCAGAUACCGUCGUAGUCUUAACCAUAAACUAUGCCGACUAGGGAUCGGAUGAUGUUAAUUUUUUAAUGACUCAUUCGGCGCCUUACGGGAAACCAAAGUGUUUGGNUUC
This 522-nucleotide ribosomal RNA is filed under the name uncultured Glomus. RNAcentral describes it as "SSU rRNA". It matches the Rfam family "Eukaryotic small subunit ribosomal RNA", at positions 591 to 1114 of the family's 1831-position model. The record is from RNAcentral. Lineage: Eukaryota; Fungi; Glomeromycota; Glomeromycetes; Glomerales; Glomeraceae.